GGGGUUUUGGCUCAGUGGUAGAGCACUUGCCUGGCCUGUAUGAGGCACUGGGUUCGAUUCUCAGCACCA
RNAcentral lists this transfer RNA (69 nucleotides) under Ictidomys tridecemlineatus (thirteen-lined ground squirrel). RNAcentral's name for it is "Spermophilus tridecemlineatus (thirteen-lined ground squirrel) tRNA". It matches the Rfam family "tRNA". Rfam says of the family: Transfer RNA (tRNA) molecules are approximately 80 nucleotides in length. Their secondary structure includes four short double-helical elements and three loops (D, anti-codon, and T loops). Lineage: Eukaryota; Metazoa; Chordata; Mammalia; Rodentia; Sciuridae. The record is from Rfam by way of RNAcentral.